GCUCAGGAUGAACGCUAGCUACAGGCUUAACACAUGCAAGUCGAGGGGCAUCAGGAAGAAAGCUUGCUUUCUUUGCUGGCGACCGGCGCACGGGUGAGUAACACGUAUCCAACCUGCCCUUUACUCGGGGAUAGCCUUUCGAAAGAAAGAUUAAUACCCGAUAGCAUAAUGAUUCCGCAUGGUUUCAUUAUUAAAGGAUUCCGGUAAAGGAUGGGGAUGCGUUCCAUUAGGUUGUUGGUGAGGUAACGGCCCACCAAGCCUUCGAUGGAUAGGGGUUCUGAGAGGAAGGUCCCCCACAUUGGAACUGAGACACGGUCCAAACUCCUACGGGAGGCAGCAGUGAGGAAUAUUGGUCAAUGGGCGCUAGCCUGAACCAGCCAAGUAGCGUGAAGGAUGAAGGCUCUAUGGGUCGUAAACUUCUUUUAUAUAAGAAUAAAGUGCAGUAUGUAUACUGUUUUGUAUGUAUUAUAUGAAUAAGGAUCGGCUAACUCCGUGCCAGCAGCCGCGGUAAUACGGAGGAUCCGAGCGUUAUCCGGAUUUAUUGGGUUUAAAGGGAGCGUAGGUGGACUGGUAAGUCAGUUGUGAAAGUUUGCGGCUCAACCGUAAAAUUGCAGUUGAUACUGUCAGUCUUGAGUACAGUAGAGGUGGGCGGAAUUCGUGGUGUAGCGGUGAAAUGCUUAGAUAUCACGAAGAACUCCGAUUGCGAAGGCAGCUCACUGGACUGCAACUGACACUGAUGCUCGAAAGUGUGGGUAUCAAACAGGAUUAGAUACCCUGGUAGUCCACACAGUAAACGAUGAAUACUCGCUGUUUGCGAUAUACAGUAAGCGGCCAAGCGAAAGCAUUAAGUAUUCCACUUGGGGAGUACGCCGGCAACGGUGAAACUCAAAGGAAUUGACGGGGGCCCGCACAAGCGGAGGAACAUGUGGUUUAAUUCGAUGAUACGCGAGGAACCUUACCCGGGCUUAAAUUGCAGUGGAAUGAUGUGGAAACAUGUCAGUGAGCAAUCACCGCUGUGAAGGUGCUGCAUGGUUGUCGUCAGCUCGUGCCGUGAGGUGUCGGCUUAAGUGCCAUAACGAGCGCAACCCUUAUCUUUAGUUACUAACAGGUUAUGCUGAGGACUCUGGAGAGACUGCCGUCGUAAGAUGUGAGGAAGGUGGGGAUGACGUCAAAUCAGCACGGCCCUUACGUCCGGGGCUACACACGUGUUACAAUGGGGGGUACAGAAGGCAGCUAGCGGGUGACCGUAUGCUAAUCCCAAAAGCCUCUCUCAGUUCGGAUCGAAGUCUGCAACCCGACUUCGUGAAGCUGGAUUCGCUAGUAAUCGCGCAUCAGCCACGGCGCGGUGAAUACGUUCCCGGGCCUUGUACACACCGCCCGUCAAGCCAUGGGAGCCGGGGGUACCUGAAGGACGUAACCGCAAGGAUCGUCCUAGGGU
This 1438-nucleotide ribosomal RNA is filed under the name uncultured organism. RNAcentral's name for it is "SSU rRNA". It matches the Rfam family "Bacterial small subunit ribosomal RNA". The record is from RNAcentral.